AGGAAUAUUUUAAUGGCUAGUAAAACAUCAUAAUCUUUGUGUUUAAAAGGCAAUCAGUAUAAUUCUGAGAAACACAUGAUGUUUCUGAUUCUUUAAAAUAAUUCACAAUGAUUAUCAUAAUUCCUAAAUGUGUUAUCACACAGUGGAACAGUAAGAAUGAAAGGAAACAGACAACACAGAACCGGAGAGAACGCUCUUCUUAUGGGAGCAGAUAUUUCUCAAAAGAAACAGAGACAGAAUCAUGAAUUCAGAGAACAUUUUGAUCGUUGCCAGAUGGGAAGGGGAUGCAGAGGAAUGGCUGAGGAGAACCAGUGUACAACUUUGAAGAAAGAAGAACACUGUUGUGUAUAAUGCUGGAGAAAUACUCUCUGCCACCCGUCUUGCCUCCUACAGGACAGCCAGGCCAAUCUUUCUAAAACAACCUUUCAAUUCUGAUUCUUGCUCCAAAUUUCCUAAGGUCUCCCUGUAUCUCCUGCCUAAAAUCCAAGCUCUCCAACCUGCCUCCAGUGAUACCCCUCAAAAAGCACCCCAGCAAUAAGGCCCAACUAGUUCAAUUCUGUACCUUUUCUCAUCCUGCUACAACUGCUUAGAAGGACUU
Pteronotus mesoamericanus is the source of this 598-nucleotide long non-coding RNA. RefSeq lists it as uncharacterized. The record is from RefSeq and is a predicted model, not a curated record. The transcript has 3 exons. Lineage: Eukaryota; Metazoa; Chordata; Mammalia; Chiroptera; Mormoopidae.